ACUCUUGUAGACGCUCUUAAAAUCUCGCCGGGUCCCUUUCCUCGCCGGCAAUCCUCUCCUCCCCCCUCCGCGCUCUGCCAUCGCCGCCCCCAAAUCCCUUCUCAGCCGCCGCCGCCGCCGCCCCCAGGCCAGCCACCAUGAUGCACAUGACCUUCUACUGGGGCACGUCCGCCACGAUCCUCUUCGACGGCUGGCGCACGUCCACGUGGCUCGGCUACCUCCUCUCCCUCGCGGCCCUGCUCCUCGCCGCCGCUUUCUACCAGUACCUCGAGGCGCUCCGGAUCCGCUUCAAGCUCGUCUCGGGAGGGGGCGCCGCCGCCAGCAAGCAGGCCCCCUCCAUCCCGCCGCCCGCCGGCUCCGACCCGUCGCGGGCGCCGCUCCUCGCGCCCGCCCUCGCCGCCGCCGGGCGCUGGCCGGCGCGGGCCGCCGUAGCCGCCAUGUUCGGGGUCAACUCCGCCCUGGGCUACCUCAUCAUGCUCUCCGUCAUGUCGUUCAACGGCGGCGUGUUCAUCGCCGUCGUCCUGGGCCUCGCGCUCGGGUACCUCGCCUUCCGCAGCAGCGACGGGGAGGAUCUCGUCGUCGUCGACACCCCCUGCGCCUGCGCGUGAGGGCUGUACGGGACGGGGUCGCCGGCUUGCUCCCCCAGGUUCGUUAUAGAUUGCCAAGAAUCGGCAGGGGAGAUGACUUGUUACCGCUCUAUGCCGUAUGCUGCUGUAUGGAUUCUGCUUGUCGGAUAGAACUACCACUUGUCCUCCAUUUGAUUCUCUCGUUGGCUUGCUCAAAGAUAUUUUCUGGUUGAGGGGACUUCUGCAUGAGGGUGAUGUGAAGCUUUCCUUGCAAAAUGAGGUCAACACAAGUCGUGUCAGUGUUUUUUUAGAAAAAAACAGAGUUAAUUUAAUAGGGAUUUGUUUUCGCUGGUAGGUCUGUUUUGUUACAUUAUCUAAAAAAAGGUCUGUUUUGUUAAAGCUCACUGGUGCUGACACGAUUUUCUCCCAGCGUCUGUGAAUUGCUCAGCCCGAGUUGCAGCCUCUGCGGCUCUGCGUGCUCCGUAGUUCAGAGUCCAGAUGCUUUUUAUAAAUAAAAAAAUCCAGAGUUCAGAUGCA
Panicum virgatum (switchgrass) is the source of this 1103-nucleotide RNA transcript. It is a transcript of the gene named copper transporter 5.1-like, with no coding region annotated. NCBI's taxonomy places the organism in Eukaryota, Viridiplantae, Streptophyta, Magnoliopsida, Poales, Poaceae. The transcript is spliced from 3 exons. The record is from RefSeq and is a predicted model, not a curated record.